RNAcentral lists this ribosomal RNA (564 nucleotides) under Rotylenchus robustus. RNAcentral describes it as "eukaryotic LSU rRNA". It matches the Rfam family "Eukaryotic large subunit ribosomal RNA", at positions 420 to 813 of the family's 3401-position model. The record is from RNAcentral. Lineage: Eukaryota; Metazoa; Nematoda; Chromadorea; Rhabditida; Hoplolaimidae.
CGGACAGAGCUGGCGUAUCUGGCCUGUAUUCAGCCGUGCGUCCGUUGGCGUCAGGGAUGCCGCUCUCCAGAUUGGGACGGUGGCCUGUCUGCUGGCGGAUGUGUGGUGCAUUUGCAGGUGGAGUGCGCUGAGGCGCUCGGGUCAGCGGCAUGAGCUCAGUGUUGAGGCCAGCCCCUCACGGGGUCUGGUACCCGCAUUGUGGGGAGUGCUGUUUGUCCUGGGUGUGUGGAGGGCAAUGGUUUCGGGUUCGUGUGGGUGCCGAGCUGGCAGUCGGUGGCGGUCGCGUGCGACACGUGCCAGCGGUCAGUUCGGUCCUGCUCGAGCUCUCAUCUGCUCGUCCUCGGUGUAAAAGCCGGUCAUCUGUCCGACCCGUCUUGAAACACGGACCAAGGAGUUUAGCGUGUGCGCGAGUCAUUGGGCGUUGAAAACCCAAAGGCGCAAUGAAAGUGAAGGUCUCCCUUGCGGAGCUGAUGUGUGAUCCUGGGCACUGCGGUGCACACCGGGCGCAACAUAGUCCCGUCCCGAUCGCUUGCGAUGGGGCGGAGACAGAGCGUACGCGCUGAG